RNAcentral lists this ribosomal RNA (492 nucleotides) under uncultured bacterium. RNAcentral describes it as "partial 16S ribosomal RNA". It matches the Rfam family "Bacterial small subunit ribosomal RNA", at positions 29 to 507 of the family's 1533-position model. The record is from RNAcentral.
AGUGAACGCUGGCGGUAGGCCUAACACAUGCAAGUCGAACGGCAGCACAGUAAGAUCUUGCUCUUACGGGUGGCGAGUGGCGGACGGGUGAGGAAUACAUCGGAAUCUACUUUUUCUUGGGGGAUAACGUAGGGCAACUUACGCUAAUACCUCAUACGACCUACGGGUGAAUGCAGGGGAUCUUCGGACUUUUCGCGUUUGUAUUAGCCGAUGUCGGAUUAGCUAGUUGGCGGGGUAAAGGCCCACCAAGGCGACGAUCCGUAGCUGGUCUGAGAGGAUGAUCGGCCACACUGGAACUGAGACACGGUCCAGACUCCUACGGGAGGCAGCAGUAGGGAAUAUUGGACAAUGGGCGAAAGCCUGAUCGAGCCAUACCGCGUGAGUGAAGAAGGCCUUCGGAUUGUAAAGCCCUUUUGUUGGGAAAGAAAAGCAGCAGGUGAAAACCCGGCUGUUCUGACGGUACCCAAAGAGUAAGCAACGGCUAACUUCGUG